This 449-nucleotide ribosomal RNA is filed under the name uncultured bacterium. Its description in RNAcentral is "partial 16S ribosomal RNA". It matches the Rfam family "Bacterial small subunit ribosomal RNA", at positions 29 to 523 of the family's 1533-position model. The record is from RNAcentral.
AAUGAACGCUGGCGGCAGGCCUAAAACAUGCAAGUCGAACGCCCUAGCAAUAGGGAGUGGCGCACGGGUGCGUAACAUGUGGGAAUAUGCCUUUUGGUACGGAACAACGUUUGGAAACGAACGCUAAUACCGUAUGGUCCCUUCGGGGUAAAGAUUUAUCGCCAAAAGAUUAGCCCGCACUGGAUUAGCUAGUUGGUGAGGUAAUGGCUCACCAAGGCGACGACCCAUAGCUGGUCUGAGCGGAUGAUCAGCCACACUGGGACUGAGACACGGCCCAGACUCCUACGGGAGGCAGUAGUUAGGAAUAUUGGACAAUGGGCGCAAGCCUGAUCCAGCCAUGCCGCGUGAGUGAUGAAGGCCUUCGGGUUGUAAAGCUCUUUAGCCGACGAUUAUAAUGACUGUAGUCGGAGAAUAAGCCCCGGCUAACUUCGUGCCAGCCGCCGCCGUAA